GAUGAACGCUGGCGGCGUGCUUAACACAUGCAAGUCGAACGGUGAAAGAGAGCUUGCUCUCUGGAUCAGUGGCGAACGGGUGAGUAACACGUGAGCAAUCUGCCCCUGACUCUGGGAUAAGCGCUGGAAACGGCGUCUAAUACCGGAUACGAGCUGCGAAGGCAUCUUCAGCAGCUGGAAAGAACUUCGGUCAGGGAUGAGCUCGCGGCCUAUCAGCUUGUUGGUGAGGUAAUGGCUCACCAAGGCGUCGACGGGUAGCCGGCCUGAGAGGGUGACCGGCCACACUGGGACUGAGACACGGCCCAGACUCCUACGGGAGGCAGCAGUGGGGAAUAUUGCACAAUGGGCGCAAGCCUGAUGCAGCAACGCCGCGUGAGGGACGACGGCCUUCGGGUUGUAAACCUCUUUUAGCAGGGAAGAAGCGAAAGUGACGGUACCUGCAGAAAAAGCACCGGCUAACUACGUGCCAGCCGCCGCAGUAA
This 482-nucleotide ribosomal RNA is filed under the name uncultured bacterium. RNAcentral describes it as "partial 16S ribosomal RNA". It matches the Rfam family "Bacterial small subunit ribosomal RNA", at positions 28 to 523 of the family's 1533-position model. The record is from RNAcentral.